This 485-nucleotide ribosomal RNA is filed under the name uncultured bacterium. RNAcentral's name for it is "partial 16S ribosomal RNA". It matches the Rfam family "Bacterial small subunit ribosomal RNA", at positions 28 to 523 of the family's 1533-position model. The record is from RNAcentral.
GGCGAACGCUGGCGGCGUGCUUAACACAUGCAAGUCGAACGAGGUCCAUGAAGUAGCAAUACUUCGGAAGACCUAGUGGCGAACGGGUGCGUAACACGUGAGGAACUUGUCCCGGUCUCUGGGAUAACAGUUGGAAACGACUGCUAAUACCGGAUGACGUCGGAGCGUCGCAUGGCGCGCUGACGAAAGGGUUACCGGAUCGGGAGAGCCUCGCGGCCUAUCAGCUUGUUGGCGGGGUAAUGGCCCACCAAGGCAUCGACGGGUAGCUGGUCUGAGAGGAUGAUCAGCCACACUGGGACUGAGACACGGCCCAGACUCCUACGGGAGGCAGCAGUGGGGAAUCUUGCGCAAUGGGCGAAAGCCUGACGCAGCAACGCCGCGUGCGGGAAGAAGGCUCUCGGGUUGUAAACCGCUUUCAGCAGGAACGAAAAUGACGGUACUUGCAGAAGAAGGUGCGGCCAACUACGUGCCAGCCGCCGCGGUAA